GGUCUUGUAGUGUAGUGGUUAUCACUCGGGAUUUUGACUAUUGCCCACCUGGUUGCAUGCAAAUUUCCCGAAACCCAGGUUCGAACCCUGGCAAGACCU
Non-coding RNA from Lactifluus subvellereus, 99 nucleotides. The record is from the annotation of a GenBank genome assembly. Lineage: Eukaryota; Fungi; Basidiomycota; Agaricomycetes; Russulales; Russulaceae.